This 305-nucleotide ribosomal RNA is filed under the name uncultured bacterium. RNAcentral describes it as "bacterial SSU rRNA". It matches the Rfam family "Bacterial small subunit ribosomal RNA", at positions 338 to 635 of the family's 1533-position model. The record is from RNAcentral.
CCUACGGGAGGCAGCAGUGGGGGAUAUUGCACAAUGGGGGGAACCCUGAUGCAGCGACGCCGCGUGGGUGAAGAAGCGCCUCGGGUCGUAAAGCUCUGUUGCGGGGGAAAAAAGGCAGCAUCAGGAAAUGGGUGCUGACUGAUGGUGCCCCGCCAGAAAGUCACGGCUAACUACGUGCCAGCAGCCGCGGUAAUACGUAGGUGGCGAGCGUUAUCCGGAAUGAUUGGGCGUAAAGGGUGCGCAGGCGGUCCUGCAAGUCUGGAGUGAAACGCAUGAGCUCAACUCAUGCAUGGCUUUGGAAACUG